This 497-nucleotide ribosomal RNA is filed under the name uncultured bacterium. RNAcentral's name for it is "partial 16S ribosomal RNA". It matches the Rfam family "Bacterial small subunit ribosomal RNA", at positions 28 to 507 of the family's 1533-position model. The record is from RNAcentral.
GAUGAACGCUGGCGGCGUGCCUAAUACAUGCAAGUCGAGCGAACAGAUGAGGAUCUUGCUCCUCUGACGUUAGCGGCGGACGGGUGAGUAACACGUGGAUAACCUACCUAUAAGACUGGGAUAACUUCGGGAAACCGGAGCUAAUACCGGAUAAUAUAUUGAACCGCAUGGUUCAAUAGUGAAAGACGGUUUUGCUGUCACUUAUAGAUGGAUCCGCGCCGCAUUAGCUAGUUGGUAAGGUAACGGCUUACCAAGGCAACGAUGCGUAGCCGACCUGAGAGGGUGAUCAGCCACACUGGAACUGAGACACGGUCCAGACUCCUACGGGAGGCAGCAGUAGGGAAUCUUCCGCAAUGGGCGAAAGCCUGACGGAGCAACGCCGCGUGAGUGAUGAAGGUCUUCGGAUCGUAAAACUCUGUUAUUAGGGAAGAACAAAUGUGUAAGUAACUAUGCACGUCUUGACGGUACCUAAUCAGAAAGCCACGGCUAACUACGUG